RNAcentral lists this ribosomal RNA (253 nucleotides) under uncultured bacterium. Its description in RNAcentral is "partial 16S ribosomal RNA". It matches the Rfam family "Bacterial small subunit ribosomal RNA", at positions 524 to 776 of the family's 1533-position model. The record is from RNAcentral.
UACGUAGGGUGCAAGCGUUAAUCGGAAUUACUGGGCGUAAAGCGUGCGCAGGCGGCGCCGCAAGUCAGGCGUGAAAUCCCCGAGCUCAACUUGGGAAUUGCGCUUGAAACUACGGUGCUGGAGUGUGGCAGAGGAAGGUGGAAUUCCACGUGUAGCGGUGAAAUUCGUAGAUAUUGGGAAGAACACCGAUGACGAAGGCAGCCAUCUGGACCGACACUGACGCUGAGGCGCGAAAGCGUGGGGAGCAAACAGG